RNAcentral lists this long non-coding RNA (370 nucleotides) under Solanum lycopersicum (tomato). RNAcentral's name for it is "long non-coding RNA (SLYC_LNC000251)". The record is from RNAcentral. Lineage: Eukaryota; Viridiplantae; Streptophyta; Magnoliopsida; Solanales; Solanaceae.
ACAUUGCCCCAAUAAGUUUCAACUUGAGGAUGCUGCAAAGGAUCACCAUACACUUCACUUGUGCUAGUUAUCAGAAAUCUAGCUCCUACUCUUUUUGCCAGCCCCAACAUGUUCAAUGUUCCCAUCACAUUUGUUUUGUAAUCUCUUUCUACUUAAGUCAAGGAAAUUAACUUAAAUCCUCCAAAAUAUACAUAAAUAAUUCUCCAAGUUAUUAGUCGUAGUAAAAGGAUAUAAUGGUCUUGACGGGAUUAUACUUGUAAUGAACCGGAGAAGCAGGGCACGCCAAAUGAUAAAUAUGAUCAACUUCAAGCAAGAUAGGCUCCACCACAUCAUGCCUAACCAACUCAAACUUAGGGUUAUUGAGAUGGUG